Non-coding RNA from Echinops telfairi (small Madagascar hedgehog), 112 nucleotides. RefSeq annotates it as small Cajal body-specific RNA 11. Lineage: Eukaryota; Metazoa; Chordata; Mammalia; Afrosoricida; Tenrecidae. The record is from RefSeq and is a predicted model, not a curated record. The transcript has a single exon.
GAGUGCUCAGCUGUGGCAGGGGAGCCUGGGGCAGGACGUACACUAUCUCCCUCUCAGUUUAAGAGGGCUGUCCUAUGCACAGGGCUGGUUCUUAAAGGGACAAGAGGACAUU